ACCGAGCCUCCCGGAUUUAAAGCGGCAGGAGCUGGUUAGCCGGAUAGAAUGUGGGUGCCGAGGGCCGGUGGGGGCCACCGCAGACUUCUUUCUGUCCCUGCUCUUCAGCGUCUCUGAAACCCCUGGCAGCCUGCGGAGAAACGAUCUUUUCUUCGUCUCUCAGCUUAUUUGGGGCCUUUUUUUUUUUUUUUAACUUGGGUGGAGGAAGUGGCUUCUAGCGACGGACACACACGGUGCCAUUUGGUAUUGCGGAUGCUGGAGUCUGGUUAUUGAGUAGACAGAUGCUUGCUGGAACGUCCAGUGAAACUUUAUUUACAAAAUCAGGCGCCAGCCCUUGGGCCCUCGUUUGCGGAUAUUUUUAAAAUAGCUUUAAAUAUUAAUAAGCGUAUUAAAAUUGCCUUAAAUGUUAGUUAUCUUAAAUAUUGUUAGAUUAAUAUUAAUUAAUCUUGAUUGGCGACAUUUUUAGCGUCCCAUAAAUUUUGCUCCUUGCUGUGAUCUGGGUCCUGCUUCUUACUUGGCCCAUCUAUCCAUCCUGGAGUAGAAAAGUCCUGAAGCAUCUGGCCACCUAGGUACCACCUGCGUCCUUCUGGGACUUUGUAUUUACUUACAUUUUUGUAAAAUAUAUACAUUUUUUAUUUUUGAGAGACAGGAUGUCACUCUGUCACCCAGGCUGGAGUGCAGUGGCGGCAUCAUGGUUCACUUCAGCCCUGAACUCUUGGGCUCCAGUGAUCCUCCCACCUCGGUCUCCCAAGUGGCAAGGACAACAAAUGUGUGUCACCACGCCUGGCCAAUUUUAUAUAUUAUAUUAUAUUAUAUUAUAUUAUAUUAUAUUAUAUUAUAUUAUAUUAUAUUUAUUUUGAGACGGAGUCUCGCUCUGUCACCCAGGCUGGAGUGCAGUGGCACCAUAUCGGCUCCCUGCAACCUCAGCCUCCUGGGUUCAAGCAAUUCUCCUGCCUCAGCCUCCCGAGUAGCUGGGACUACAGGCACGUGCCACCACGCCUGGCUAAUUUUUUGCAUUUUCAGUAGAGAUGGGGUUUCACCGUGUUAGCCAGGAUGGUCUCGAUCUCCUGACCUCGUGAUCUGCCUGCCUCAGCCUCCCAAAGUGCUGGGAUUACAGGCGUGAGCCACAGUGCCUGGCCUGUAUUAUAUUUAUUUUGAGACAGGGUCUUACCCUGUCGCUCAGGCUGGAGUGCAGUGGUGCUAUCUCAGCUCACCGCAACCUCCUCCUCCCGGCUCAAGCUGAUCCUCCCGCCUCAGCCUCCCGAGUAUCUGGGACUACUUUUUGUAGAGAUGGCGUCUUGCUAUGUUGCCCAGGCUGGUCUCAAACUCUCGGUCUCAAGCUCCUGGGCUCAAGAGAUCCUCCCAUCUGGGCCUCCCAAAGUUCUUAGGAUUACAGACGUGAGCUACUGUGCCUGGCUAGGGAAUAUUUUUGAAAGUAGAGUUCUUGCAGGCUAAAGGAGCAGGCAGCACAGAUGAGAGGAGACAUCUGAGUUGCUUUAAAAGGAAGGGCAAAAUGUGGUGACCAGAGAGGAAAGUGAAAAGCUUUCCAGCAGGCUCACGGCAGGAAAGGAGGGUCAGGACAGGGAACUAUGUGUACAGAUAUUGAGGUACAAAUAAGAUGGCAUCUCAAUGUGUUACCCAGGCUGGUCUUGAACUCCUGGACUCAAUCCUCCUACCUUGGCCUCCCAAAGUGCUGGGAUUAUAGGUGUGAGUCAUCCUGUCUGGCCUAUUUUCUGAGGACUGAUUUUGUAUUUUAUUAUUAUUAUUUUAGGACCACAUAACUCUGUUUAGAAAAUGUUUCUAAUGUAUUGAGUGCUUCAAAGGUAUAUUAGUUCGAUUUCACACUGCUAUAAGGAAUUGCCUGAGGCUGAGUAAUAUAUAAAAUAAACAGGUUUAAUUGACUCAGUUCCAUAUAACUGGGGAGGCCGCAGGAAACUUACAAUCAUGGCUGAAGGUGAAGGGGAAGCAAGGCACAUCUUACUUGUUGGCAGGAGAGAGAGAGUGCAGGGGAAACUGCCACUUUUUCUUUUUUUUUUUUGGAGACAGAGUCUCACUCUGUUGCCCAGGCUGGAGUGCAGUGGCGCAAUCUUGGCUCACUGCAAGCUUGGCCUCCCGGGUUCACGUCAUUCUCCUGCCUCAGCAUCCCGAGUAGCUGGGACUACAGGCGCCCGCCACUACGCCUGGCUAAUUUUUUGUAUUUUUAGUAGAGACGAGGUUUCACGUGUUAGUCAGGAUGGUCUCGAUCUUCUGCCCUCAGGUAAUCCACCCGCCUUGGCCUCCCAAAGUGCUGGGAUUACAGGUGUGAGCCACCAUGCCCAGCCAGAAACUGCCACUUUUAAACCAUCAGAUCUCAUUGAGAACUCCCUCACUAUCACGAGAACCGCAUGAGGGAAACCACCCCCAUGAUCUGAUCACCUCCCACCAGGUCCUGCCCUCAACAUGUGGGGAUUACAAUUCAAGAUGAGAUUUGGGUCAGGAAACAGAGCCAAACCAUAUCAAGAGCCUCUGGUAACCACUGUUCUACUCAAUACUUCUAUGAGGUGAACUUCUUUGGAUUCCACAUAUGAUCAAGAUCAUGAGGAAGGAGGAGCAAGUCUUCUUUGUCAUGCUAUUAAGAAAAUACCCAGAGUCACAGCACCAUGAUCUCCUUGUGAAGCAGAACAAGUAAUAUAAAACUGAUCUAAAGAGGCCUCCCCUCUACUCUUAUCUGUCUGGUCGAGUCAUUUGGGUCCAAGUGGGCACCAUUGUGGGAGGGUGGGAGGACUCAUCACUGGGGGCCCAGGCAUCAUUGGCAUGUGGCCUCCUGUGUUAGUUUGUUCUCAUGCUGCAAAUAAAGACAACUUGAGACUGGAUAAUUUAUAAAGGAAAGAGGUUUAAUGGACUCACAGUUCCACAUGGCUAAGGAGUACUCACAAUCAUGGCGGAAGACAAAGGAAGAGCAAAGGGACAUCUUACAUGGCAGCAGGCAAGAGAGCGUGUGCAGGGGAAGUCCCCUUUAUAAAACCAUCAGAUCUCAUGAGACUUAUUCACUAUCGCGAGAACAGCAUGAGAAAAACCCACCCCCAUGAUUCAAUUACCUCCCACCGUGUCCCUCCCAUGUCAUGUGAAGAUUAUUACAACUCAAGGUCACAGGAACCUUGAUCUGUGCUUGCUGCAAGGAUCAUCAAACAUAGAGCGG
This 3178-nucleotide long non-coding RNA is filed under the name Homo sapiens (human). Its description in RNAcentral is "non-protein coding ERICH6-AS1:20". Lineage: Eukaryota; Metazoa; Chordata; Mammalia; Primates; Hominidae. The record is from RNAcentral.